RNAcentral lists this small RNA (72 nucleotides) under Staphylococcus aureus. Its description in RNAcentral is "3'UTR". The record is from RNAcentral. Lineage: Bacteria; Bacillati; Bacillota; Bacilli; Caryophanales; Staphylococcaceae.
UCAAAUGUUUUUGCAACUUAUGUCGCUCAGCAUUUGGGUUGCAAAGUGUAUCGUACAAGCCAUGAAGAUGAU